GUGGAUUAGAUACCCUGGUAGUCCAUGCCGUAAACGAUGUCUACUAGCCGUUGGGGCCUUUGAGGCUUUAGUGGCGCAGCUAACGCGAUAAGUAGACCGCCUGGGGAGUACGGUCGCAAGACUAAAACUCAAAUGAAUUGACGGGGGCCCGCACAAGCGGUGGAGCAUGUGGUUUAAUUCGAUGCAACGCGAAGAACCUUACCUGGUCUUGACAUACAGAGAACUUUCCAGAGAUGGAUUGGUGCCUUCGGGAACUCUGAUACAGGUGCUGCACGGCCGUCGCCAACU
Molecule: ribosomal RNA, 288 nt
Filed under: uncultured bacterium
Lineage: Bacteria
Description: partial 16S ribosomal RNA
Rfam family: Bacterial small subunit ribosomal RNA
Source: RNAcentral